This 253-nucleotide ribosomal RNA is filed under the name uncultured bacterium. Its description in RNAcentral is "partial 16S ribosomal RNA". It matches the Rfam family "Bacterial small subunit ribosomal RNA", at positions 524 to 776 of the family's 1533-position model. The record is from RNAcentral.
UACAGGGGGGGCAAGCGUUGUUCGGAAUUACUGGGCGUAAAGGGCGCGUAGGCGGCUUGACAAGUCACUUGUGAAAUCUCUGGGCUUAACCCAGAACGGCCAAGUGAAACUGUCGAGCUAGAGUGUAGAAGGGGCAAUCGGAAUUCUUGGUGUAGCGGUGAAAUGCGUAGAUAUCAAGAGGAACACCUGAGGUGAAGACGGGUUGCUGGUCUAACACUGACGCUGAGGCGCGAAAGCCAGGGGAGCAAACGGG